Molecule: transfer RNA, 60 nt
Filed under: Loxodonta africana (African savanna elephant)
Lineage: Eukaryota; Metazoa; Chordata; Mammalia; Proboscidea; Elephantidae
Rfam family: tRNA
About the family: Transfer RNA (tRNA) molecules are approximately 80 nucleotides in length.
Source: Rfam by way of RNAcentral
GGUGGCACAAUGGUUAAGCAUUUGGCUGCUAACCAAAAGGUCGGCAGUUCGAAUUGCUCC